UAAAGUCCAAAUUAGGGACUAAAAUAUUUUUUUUUUCAAGUUUCCUAUCCCUAUUAGUAGACUUUAUUUGAAAGAAACUAGAAAUGUUCUCGUGUUAACCAAUUUCCUCAUAACUUAUCAACUGAAAAUAUAGAGUUUAUUAUAAUUAUUCCUUGUCUAUAUAUUUUAAAAGGGAGGAAAAAGCUCUCUCGCAGCCUAGAAAGAAGCCACAUGGCAUAAGUAGUUUCCCCUCUCUCUCUCUCUCUAACGGCUAUUUCUCUCUCUUCUCUCUCCUCCUCGAUCCCUCUCCUCGUCUGAAGCAACCACUGCCGGUUCCGACAGGUAAGUCCCCCCCCUUCCUCUCCUUUCUCUCUUUUCUCUCUUCUCUCUCUCUUCUCUCUCGCCUUCUCCGACCAUACAGUGCUGUCGGAGCACUGUUCCGACAACCCACGGUGGUCGGCCUUUGUCACCUCCCACACUAUCGAGGCACCCAACGUCAGGCGCACACCCCUGGCAAUUUCCGUCACCGGAUUCUGCCUCACGCACCACCUGUGCUCACCUAUGCGCCGCCGCUGUCAGACACGCGCCGGGCGCGUGUGACCAUUUCCUGUCACCAGAUUCUGCCUCAUGCGCCACCUGUGCCCACCCACGCGCCCCGCUGUCAGACACGUGCCGGGCGCGUGUGACCAUUUCCGGCCACUUUUCCGCUGGCUCCUUUUACACAGUGUUACUCCCUCACUGUUCCGACCAACCCGGUAACCCCGAAAUUUUUCUCGGGCCACUUUGGUUACCUACUGUUCACUGUUCCUUUCACAGUGUUACAUUUGCAGGUUUGUUACUCAACUUUACAAUUUCACGUGUUCUGUUAUUGCCUAAGUGAAAGGAAUCUUAAUUUCUUUCAGUUUAGAGGUUUUGAACUAUCGCUUUUCGUCGGAAAUUUUUCUGGCAACUCCCGCGCUUUUCGUUCCAUUAUUUCCGCU
Molecule: long non-coding RNA, 959 nt
Filed under: Nicotiana benthamiana
Lineage: Eukaryota; Viridiplantae; Streptophyta; Magnoliopsida; Solanales; Solanaceae
Description: long non-coding RNA (NBEN_LNC005740)
Source: RNAcentral